CCUACGGGAGGCAGCAGUGAGGAAUAUUGGUCAAUGGGCGGGAGCCUGAACCAGCCAAGUCGCGUGAAGGAAGAAGGUACUUAGUAUUGUAAACCUCUUUUGCCGGGGAGCAAGGGCCGGGACGCGUCCCGGCCCGGAAAGUACCCGGAGAAAAAGCAUCGGCUAACUCCGUGCCAGCAGCCGCGGUAAUACGGAGGAUGCGAGCGUUAUCCGGAUUUAUUGGGUUUAAAGGGUGCGUAGGCGGGCUUUUAAGCCAGCGGUAAAAAUUCGGGGCUCAACCCCGUCCGGCCGUUGAAACUGGGGGC
RNAcentral lists this ribosomal RNA (305 nucleotides) under uncultured bacterium. RNAcentral's name for it is "bacterial SSU rRNA". It matches the Rfam family "Bacterial small subunit ribosomal RNA", at positions 338 to 640 of the family's 1533-position model. The record is from RNAcentral.